ACGUAGGGUGCAAACGUUAUCCGGAUUUAUUGGGCGUAAAGAGCUCGUAGGCGGAAUUGUAAGUUGGAUAUUAAAUACCCAAGCUCAACUUGGGGAGAGUAUCCAAAACUACUUUUCUAGAGGGAUGCAGGGGAGAACGGAACUUACAGUGUAGCGGUGGAAUGCGUAGAUAUUGUAAGGAACGCCAAUGGUGAAGACAGUUCUCUGGGCAUUUUCUGACGCUGAGGCGCGAAAGCGUGGGUAGCGAUCGG
This 251-nucleotide ribosomal RNA is filed under the name uncultured prokaryote. RNAcentral describes it as "partial 16S rRNA". It matches the Rfam family "Bacterial small subunit ribosomal RNA", at positions 525 to 775 of the family's 1533-position model. The record is from RNAcentral.